RNAcentral lists this ribosomal RNA (1280 nucleotides) under metagenome. Its description in RNAcentral is "bacterial LSU rRNA". It matches the Rfam family "Bacterial large subunit ribosomal RNA", at positions 1669 to 2925 of the family's 2925-position model. The record is from RNAcentral.
UAGCAGAUAAUCUGCCAAGGCGCUUGAGAGAACUCGGGUUAAGGAACUCUGCAAAUUGAUACCGUAACUUCGGAAGAAGGUAUGCCUUCGACGGUGUAGGGAUUUACUCCCGAAGCUGUUGAAGGUCGCAGGUAAUCGGUGGCUGCGACUGUUUAUCAAAAACACAGGACUCUGCGAACACGCAAGUGGAAGUAUAGGGUCUGACGCCUGCCCGGUGCCGGAAGGUUAAUUGAUGGGGUUAGCCGCAAGGCGAAGCUCUUGAUCGAAGCCCCGGUAAACGGCGGCCGUAACGAUAACGGUCCUAAGGUAGCGAAAUUCCUUGUCGGGUAAGUUCCGACCUGCACGAAUGGCGUAACGCUGGCCACACUGUCUCGACCCGAGACUCAGUGAAGUUGAAAUCGCUGUGAAGAUGCGGCGUUCCCGCGGCAAGACGGAAAGACCCCGUGAACCUUCACUACAGCUUACACUGAACUUUGAACCUUUCUGUGUAGGAUAGGUGGGAGGCUAUGAAACUUGGGCGCUAGCUCGAGUGGAGCCAACCUUGAAAUACCACCCUGGGAUGUUUGAAGUUCUAACCUUGGUCCGUAAUCCGGAUUGGGGACAGUGUAUGGUGGGUAGUUUGACUGGGGCGGUCUCCUCCCAAAGAGUAACGGAGGAGUGCAAUGGUACGCUCAGCGCGGUCGGUCAUCGCGCUCUAGAGUGCAAAGGCAUAAGCGUGCUUAACUGUGAGACAGACACGUCGAACAGGUACGAAAGUAGGUCUUAGUGAUCCGGUGGUUCUGUAUGGAAGGGCCAUCGCUCAACGGAUAAAAGGUACUCCGGGGAUAACAGGCUUAUUCCUCCCAAGAGUCCACAUCGACGGAGGAGUUUGGCACCUCGAUGUCGGCUCAUCACAUCCUGGGGCUGUAGCAGGUCCCAAGGGUAUGGCUGUUCGCCAUUUAAAGUGGUACGCGAGCUGGGUUCAGAACGUCGUGAGACAGUUCGGUCCCUAUCUGCCGUGGGCGUUGGAAACUUGAGGGUGAGCUGUCCUUAGUACGAGAGGACCGGGAUGGACGUAUCUCUGGUGUUCCGGUUGUCACGCCAGUGGCACUGCCGGGUAGCUAUAUACGGACGGGAUAAGCGCUGAAAGCAUCUAAGCGCGAAGCCCCCCCCAAGAUUAGGUUUCCCUGGGAACUCGAUUCCCCUAAAGGGCCGUCGGAGACUACGACGUUGAUAGGCUGGGUGUGUAAGUGCAGCAAUGCAUUGAGCCAUCAGUACUAAUUGCCCGUGAGGCUUGACCC